GCACCAGUAGAGUAGUAGUUAACUCAUUUCCCUCCCAUUCCCGUCUGGCUAGGAAGGAAAGGACCUGGGUGCAAAUCCCGGCUGGUGCA
This 89-nucleotide transfer RNA is filed under the name Xylaria grammica. It matches the Rfam family "tRNA". Rfam says of the family: Transfer RNA (tRNA) molecules are approximately 80 nucleotides in length. Their secondary structure includes four short double-helical elements and three loops (D, anti-codon, and T loops). Further hydrogen bonds mediate the characteristic L-shaped molecular structure. tRNAs have two regions of fundamental functional importance: the anti-codon, which is responsible for specific mRNA codon recognition, and the 3' end, to which the tRNAs corresponding amino acid is attached (by aminoacyl-tRNA synthetases). tRNAs cope with the degeneracy of the genetic code in two manners: having more than one tRNA (with a specific anti-codon) for a particular amino acid; and 'wobble' base-pairing, i.e. permitting non-standard base-pairing at the 3rd anti-codon position. Lineage: Eukaryota; Fungi; Ascomycota; Sordariomycetes; Xylariales; Xylariaceae. The record is from Rfam by way of RNAcentral. RNAcentral also lists the same sequence under 1 other name.